RNAcentral lists this small nucleolar RNA (144 nucleotides) under Triticum aestivum (bread wheat). Its description in RNAcentral is "Small nucleolar RNA U3". It matches the Rfam family "Small nucleolar RNA U3", at positions 76 to 219 of the family's 219-position model. Rfam says of the family: Small nucleolar RNAs (snoRNAs) are involved in the processing and modification of rRNA in the nucleolus. There are two main classes of snoRNAs: the box C/D class, and the box H/ACA class. The record is from Rfam by way of RNAcentral. RNAcentral also lists the same sequence under 1 other name. Lineage: Eukaryota; Viridiplantae; Streptophyta; Magnoliopsida; Poales; Poaceae.
GUCUGGUUGAUGCAUUCUGACCUCUGGGCCAGAGCGUGAUUAACGGCCAGGAUUCCUCUGAUGGGUGCAAUCCACGGCUGUAGAGGAUCGUUCCUGCCUUGCUCAUAUGCCUGUGCAGGGCGGCCCAGAUGUUGUCUGACAGAC